AAAACAAAAGAAAAUCGUGACCCUCCUCCUCCUUUUCUCUUCACUGCCGUUCUCUCUUUCCCCUCACCUUUCUUGAUCCAGUUGCAGCAAAUCUGCACUCCCUCCCUCCCCUUAUCUUCAUCCACUGCCCAGCAAAUCUGCACUCUCAAAUCUGCACUUUCUCAGUUGCAACAUCUUUCUCUCUCGUCUCAGCCCAGCCGUUGCUGCUCCGUCUUUGCUCUCCCGGAUCUGUCACUUGCCCAGCCGCCAUCUCGCUGCAACCACUGCUGCUCCAUCCAACUAGCUUGACUGUUUUUGCUCUCUCAGCUCCAUCUUUGUUAUGUGAGUUGCUGAUUGGGUUUUAAUUUGAUUGCGUACAAUAAUUAUUUUCUAAGGCUUGCGUACAAUCGAAUUUGGCAUUCAUUGGGUUUUAAUUUGCUUGGGAAUCUUUGUUAUGUGAGUUGCUGAUUGGGUUUUGAGUUUGAUUAAUGGAUUAAAAUACAAUAGAUUUGUUAGUGUUAAUACAUUGAUAAUUUGAACGUGUAAUGUAAUUUUCCUGCUAGUGCUGAUGAUUAUUGUUUUUUUUUUCUUUUGGCAGAGCAAAUAUUGUUUCUGGAAAGCAGUUAAACUGCUUUCUAAUUCCGUGUCUAAUGUGUUUUCAGAAUGAAUAUUCAAAAAAAAAAAAUUGACACUUAUUUCACAAAAAGUUGUUCCAAGAAGAUGUGUAAUUGGAUUUACAUUUAUUGCUGUGUUUGGGAGCAUGGAAUCAGAACCUUGGAAUUGGAAAUUGAAACUGCAAAUGCUAUAUAAAAUAAUUUUGCACGAGCAAGCUUCAUGUUAAAUUGCACUAACUCUAGUUCAUACCAUGCAUGCUUUCAGUUUAUUAUAGCUGGAAUACACAUGCUGAUCUUUAUGGUAUGUUUAUCGCAUUACAAAUUUAGUUAAAGUACCUUUGAGAUAAAGAGUUUUUGUGUUAAUGUUAAAUGAGAAAAUGCAUAGAUUUGAUUAUAACAAAUCUGUUGUAUUAUAAUCCAUUAAUCAAAUUAUCAACGUAUGCAUAAUUAUAGUUUACAUAAGCAACGUCUCAUUCCAAUUGCAUGUUGCACUUUACAUAAUUUUAUUCGACAAGAAAAUGCAAGUGAUACGUUAUUUGGGGACUUUGAUGUGCAAGAUUUGGUUAUCAACGAAUGAGACACUAGUAGGCCACUUACUAAUAUUGAUUUAUCUCCAGCAAGUGUCGCAGAGAUGAAUGCUACAAGAGAUGAAAUUGCAGCUUCUAUGUGGCAUGAUUACAUACGUAAUGCAUAAUGUCUAUCAUGUAAUUUUUUUAUAAUUAUUUUGUUUAAAUCAUGUGUUGUAAUAUAUAUCUUAUUUAUGGUAUAAAAACAAUGACAAUGUCAAACUUUUUUUUAAUUAAUGUUAAUUCUAAAACUUUAUCAUCAUGUAAUUUUUUAAUAAUAAAUUUGUUUAAAUUAUUUUGUUGUAUUUGUGUAUGUAUUAGCUAAAUAAUUAUUUUAUGACUAUAAAUAUAAUGUAAAUGCUUAGUAAAAAUUAUUUUUGAAAAAAGCAUUACCAAACACAUAUUUUCUGUUUUAUCAUUUUCAACUGUGUCUACCAAACGCAUAUUAUUGUUUUUAAUUUUAAAAUAUAGGAUACAGAAAAUGAUACCAAACGCAUAUUUAAAUUCGAAAUACAGCAACUGCAAAACACAAUUUUUAUUUUUAUUUUUAUUCUCAAAAAAUAUAAAUUCAGAAACAAUACCAAACGAGCCCUAAGCUUCCUAACAUGUUGCUUCUCUCCGUUUCUCUCUAGAGAUUAUAAUAUCUAAAAUGGGAUUCGCAGGGUUCAAGGAUUUAAAUUUUGAUCAUUCUCGGUGUCUUAACCGUAGAGAAGGCUGUCAAGGUUAUGAUGUAUUUAAUUGUACUGACAUUUUCUUUUUCAAAUGGCACGACGUAGGAUUUGAGUCGUCAUCUUAUCAAUUUUUCAAUUUUCUCCUAGGAUUUUUUUUUCUUUCUAUUUCUUUUUCCUAAAAUUGAAACGAAUUUGUGGCUCCCUCUCAUCAGAGUCCUGUCAGCUUUAAUUUAGUUGUAAAAGUUAUAUUUGUAGUCGAACACAUGCAAUUAGCACAACAGUGCUGUCAUUCAACUUACUUUUCCUGAAACAUGCAGCUUCAGUCAUUUUCUCAGGAUCUUCUGCAGGUUUGGGAUUAUAAUGGCUUAGGUUAAGGUCGAGG
RNAcentral lists this long non-coding RNA (2212 nucleotides) under Citrus sinensis (sweet orange). RNAcentral describes it as "long non-coding RNA (CSIN_LNC003868)". The record is from RNAcentral. Lineage: Eukaryota; Viridiplantae; Streptophyta; Magnoliopsida; Sapindales; Rutaceae.